UACAAUUGGCGAGGCUUGACGAGCGAUGCGCGUGAGUGAAGAAGGCCCUAUGGGUUGUAAAGCUCUGUCAGAUUGGGAAGAAAAUCCUGCGGUUAAUACCCGUGGGACUUGACGGUACCAUCAGAGGAAGCACCGGCUAACUCCGUGCCAGCAGCCGCGGUAAUACGGAGGGCGCAAGCGUUGUUCGGAUUCACUGGGUAUAAAGGGUGCGCAGGCGGCCCGAUAAGUCAGGGGUGAAAUAUGACGGCUUAACCGUCAAACUGCCCCUGAAACUGUCAGGCUUGAGUUCGAGAGAGGUAGGUGGAAUUCCAGGUGUAGCGGUGAAAUGCGUAAAUAUCUGGAGGAACACCGGUGGCGAAGGCGGCCUACUGGCUCGAUACUGACGCUCAGGCACGAAAGCAUGGGGAGCGAACGGGAUUAGAUACCCCGGUAGUCCAUGCCGUAAACGAUGCCUACUAGGUGUUGAAGGAUUCUACCCCUUCAGUGCCGCAGCUAACGCAUUAAGUACCCCACCUGGGAGUACGAUCGCAAGGUUGAUACUCAAAGGAAUUGACGCAGGCUCGCACAGGCGGAGGAGCAUGUGUUUUAAUUCGAUGCAACGCGAAGAACCUUACCUGGGCUUGUCAUGCAGGGGACAGAUGAAGAAAUACAUCCUUCUUCGGACUCCUGUACAGAUGCUGCAUGGCUGUCGUCAGCUCGCGUCGUGAAUGCUGCGAUAAGUCCCGCAACGAGCGCAACACUGGUCAUUGUUGCAUCAGGUUAUGCAAGCGGCUCUAGACCGAGCUGCCGUGACUAAACGCAGGAGUUGGGAACGACGUCAGUCAUCAUGACUCUUACGCCGACGCGCUGAAAUCGUGCUAGAAGGCCGGUUCAACAGCGGGUAUACACCAUUCUCCACCGGAUUCCCAAAUGCCGCUCAGUCCGCUCUUGUCUGCACUCGACUAGUUAGUUCGAUCGCUAGUAAGCGGUACCGACGAUGGUGGAAUUCGUUUAGGUCUUGCACCACGUCAUUUCAUG
Molecule: ribosomal RNA, 1017 nt
Filed under: uncultured sulfate-reducing bacterium
Lineage: Bacteria
Description: bacterial SSU rRNA
Rfam family: Bacterial small subunit ribosomal RNA
Source: RNAcentral